This 76-nucleotide transfer RNA is filed under the name Desulfuromonas sp. RNAcentral describes it as "tRNA-Thr". It matches the Rfam family "tRNA". From Rfam's summary of the family: Transfer RNA (tRNA) molecules are approximately 80 nucleotides in length. Lineage: Bacteria; Pseudomonadati; Thermodesulfobacteriota; Desulfuromonadia; Desulfuromonadales; Desulfuromonadaceae. RNAcentral also lists the same sequence under 7 other names. The record is from RNAcentral.
GCCCACAUAGCUCAGUAGGUAGAGCACUUCCUUGGUAAGGAAGAGGUCACCGGUUCAAAUCCGGUUGUGGGCUCCA